AUGGCCCUUCGCAGGGAGCUCGCCAACAUUAAGAAGCUGGACUCCUCCGCCACGACCUACUUCAACAAGAUGAAGGUGCUGGCGGGCACACUCACCUCUAUCGGUCGGCCGCUCAGCGACGAGGAGUUUGCUGGCUUUGUCAUCAAAGGCCUCGACGCCGACUACGACAAUCUCGCCGAGGCUGUUCACAACGCCAAGCUAGCGAUGCCCCCGCAUGAGCUCUACUCACGACUUCUCUUCACCGAGUAG
Molecule: ribosomal RNA, 249 nt
Filed under: Triticum aestivum (bread wheat)
Lineage: Eukaryota; Viridiplantae; Streptophyta; Magnoliopsida; Poales; Poaceae
Description: partial small subunit ribosomal RNA
Source: RNAcentral